RNAcentral lists this transfer RNA (28 nucleotides) under Doronicum cataractarum. RNAcentral's name for it is "partial tRNA-Phe". Lineage: Eukaryota; Viridiplantae; Streptophyta; Magnoliopsida; Asterales; Asteraceae. The record is from RNAcentral. RNAcentral also lists the same sequence under 4 other names.
GUCGGGAUAGCUCAGUCGGUAGAGCAGA